AGAGUUUGAUUAUGGCUCAGGAUGAACGCUAGCUACAGGCUUAACACAUGCAAGUCGAGGGGCAGCGGGAUCUAGCUGCUAGAUUGCCGGCGACCGGCGCACGGGUGAGUAACGCGUAUCCAACCUUCCCCUUAGUAGGGCAUAGCCCGUAGAAAUGCGGAUUAAUACCCUAUGUUAUUCGUCGAUGACAUCUGAAGUGAAUCAAAGGUUUACCGCUAAGGGAUGGGGAUGCGUCUGAUUAGGCAGCAGGCGGGGUAACGGCCCACCUGGCCGACGAUCAGUAGGGGUUCUGAGAGGAAGGUCCCCCACAUUGGAACUGAGACACGGUCCAAACUCCUACGGGAGGCAGCAGUGAGGAAUAUUGGUCAAUGGGCGCGAGCCUGAACCAGCCAAGUAGCGUGCAGGAUGACGGCCCUAUGGGUUGUAAACUGCUUUUAUGCGGGGAUAAAGUGCGGCACGCGUGCCGUUUUGUAGGUACCGCAUGAAUAAGGACCGGCUAAUUCCGUGCCAGCCGCGGC
RNAcentral lists this ribosomal RNA (518 nucleotides) under uncultured bacterium. Its description in RNAcentral is "bacterial SSU rRNA". It matches the Rfam family "Bacterial small subunit ribosomal RNA", at positions 8 to 518 of the family's 1533-position model. The record is from RNAcentral.